RNAcentral lists this ribosomal RNA (911 nucleotides) under uncultured bacterium. RNAcentral describes it as "bacterial SSU rRNA". It matches the Rfam family "Bacterial small subunit ribosomal RNA", at positions 10 to 916 of the family's 1533-position model. The record is from RNAcentral.
AGUUUGAUCCUGGCUCAGGAUGAACGCUAGCGAUAGGCCUAACACAUGCAAGUCGAGGGGCAGCAUAGAGUAGCAAUACUUUGAUGGCGACCGGCGCACGGGUGAGUAACACGUAUGCAACCUACCUACAUCAGGGGAAUAACCCGGAGAAAUUCGGACUAAUACCGCAUAACACAGGGGUCCCGCAUGGGAAUAUUUGUUAAAGAUUUAUCGGAUGUAGAUGGGCAUGCGUUCCAUUAGGUAGUUGGUAGAGUAACGGCCUACCAAGCCCACGAUGGAUAGGGGAACUGAGAGGUUUGUCCCCCACACUGGAACUGAGACACGGACCAGACUCCUACGGGAGGCAGCAGUGAGGAAUAUUGGUCAAUGGUCGAGAGACUGAACCAGCCAAAUCGCGUGAAGGAAGACUGCCUUAUGGGUUGUAAACUUCUUUUUUACAGGAAUAAAAGACAUUACGAGUAAUGUAUUGCAUGUACUGUAAGAAUAAGCAUCGGCUAACUCCGUGCCAGCAGCCGCGGUAAUACGGAGGAUGCGAGCGUUAUCCGGAUUUAUUGGGUUUAAAGGGUGCGCAGGCGGGCUUUUAAGUCAGCGGUGAAAUUUCCAGGCUCAACCUGGGCACUGCCGUUGAAACUGGGGGUCUUGAGUACAGAUGAAGUAGGCGGAAUUCGUUGUGUAGCGGUGACAUGCUUAGAUAUAACGAGGAACUCCGAUUGCGUAGGCAGCUUACUAAACUGUUACUGACGCUCAAGCACGAAAGCGUGGGGAUCAAACAGGAUUAGAUACCCUGGUAGUCCACGCCGUAAACGAUGAUUACUAGUUGUAUGCGAUAUACCGUAUGUGACUAAGCGAAAGCGAUAAGUAAUCCACCUGGGGAGUACGCUGGCAACAGUGAAACUCAAAUGAAUUGACGG